Long non-coding RNA from Ruditapes philippinarum (Manila clam), 3348 nucleotides. RefSeq lists it as uncharacterized. The transcript has 3 exons. Lineage: Eukaryota; Metazoa; Mollusca; Bivalvia; Venerida; Veneridae. The record is from RefSeq and is a predicted model, not a curated record.
ACUAUGUUAACAAUUUUACACCAAACUGUUCCACUGAUGAAAUUCUUUGAAUGAAAAAUUUUUAUUUACAGAGACAAGAGUUGUCCCCCUCAACCUUUUCAACAAAAAUAUAGAUUUUCUAAGCUUACAAAUAAUUAUGCUGACUGGAAUUUUUUAACUUUUUGAGAAAGUUCAUCAAUUAAGAUUCAAAAUUUUAAGGCACAAGUAUGCACAAAUAUGUGCAAUCUUUAAAAAAAAAUAGUGUGAAUCCUGCAAUUGUGUGUCCUAGAGUAAACUCUUGAGAAUCUCUUGCUCUGGGCAACAAAUUAUUGUAUGCUACUUCUAGAACUUGACUUUUGGCUACGUGCUUAAUUUUGCCUGAAAACUCAAAAUAAACUGUACUUGUUAUGUUGUCAGGUGAGCUAAACAGCAAAUACCUUUCUAAAGGACGCUCCCUUGAAUAAGCCCAAGAUCGCCUUGCAAUUAAUCUUUUUUUUUUGCACAUCUCUGACCUAUAUAUGUACUCACACAGGGCUCUCAUUUCAUGAUAUAUGUGGCCAAAAUUCACAGUCUCCAGUAAAAUAUAUAUUGUCCCUAUUUUUCAAAAAAAAUGUUCCUGAAUUAAAAAAAGAAAUCUUUCAGUAAUUUUAUCUGCCUAAAGCAGAAGAGUCCCUAAACAAUAUAAUAAAAUUGGCAUUGAAAUAGAAGGGGUUUUUGUCACAAACACAUAAGUUUCCCAUAUAUGUACUCCAAGGAUGGAACAGAGGCAUAUAAAUCCCAAAAGUAGUUUGACAGUACUUAACAAAUUUAAACAGACAGAGUGACAGGAACAGCCAUUAUUUUCAUAAAGCCUUCGGCUUUCGCAUGUAUACAUAGCAUUCCUUCCUGGACGUAUCGAUUAAAUCGCACUUUAAAAAAGAAUCAAAUCUCCCGCGUAAUGAGGUAUUCCCCAUCGCACAUGCGCAGUACACCAUACAAUACCGGAAGUAAACCCCGGAAAUUUCAUAUCUUUUCUGGCGUUCGAUGGUACACACGUGUGGGUUAUAUUCACCCUAUCUUACGGGUUAUACCUUUUUAUUUUUGGUAGGUAAAGUAUACCUUGUUAUUUGUUUUUGUCAUGGAUGAUGUUUUAUCCGCUAUGCCUUCUUCGGAAGAGGGUUUUUCUGGACUUUCUGAGUCUGACAUGCCUAAAACUUCUAAACCUCCUCGGCGGUCAAAAAAUGUAACAAAGUCUAAAAAACCCAAAGGUAAGGCCUUAAAGUCCACAGUUCAUGUGGUAAAUAAGAGUGUUGGCCAAAUCUCUUCGGAGAAGUCUUCGGACAGGCCAUUAUUAGAUGUUUCGAAGUUGUCAGCCGCUGACAUUGCAUCUCUUAGGAGUUUGCUUGGCAUACAACAGGUGGAUUCGAAUCCUGUUGAUAAUGAUGAUGAGGUUUAUUUUGCCGAAAAAGAUUCGUCUGUUAGGCCUAAUAUUACUGUUCAGGUUGAUGCAGAUAAUGUAUCUGACAAUGAAUAUAGGCUAAUCAAUGAAAUGAUUAGGGUAGACAUAAUUGCAACAGAAUUUCUGUUGACACUGUACGAAAGCAGGUACUGUAAUAAGUACUUUAAAGAAAAUCCCAAAAAAUCCGAUAAGCAAUAAAUGUGUAAAUGCAUUUUAAAUAAUGUUAAUUUUUAACAAUUUAACAAUGGCCCAUAAAAUACACCAUACACGAAAUACUUCGAAUGACGUAGAGAAAUAUGACGUCACAAGUAAAACUAUCAUGGCGGUAAAUGGUAAAUAUCGCGGGGUGAAUUUGUGAUUUACGUCUUUAUCGCUGAAUAUAGAAGAACAAGUGUAUCAUCAGGUAUGUUAACAUUUUGCUGGCAUAUUAUUUAAUAUUUAAAAUCAUUAACAAAAUAUUUCUAAGUUGUUUUAUAAACACCGGAUGGUCUUUUUGUUAUUUCAAUUUACAGGUACAUUUUAAAGUAAACAAAAUGAAAUUUGUUACAGGUUACUUAUAAAUAAAUUUCAUUGUACCAUAAGAACGUUAUAGACACAACCGUAAUCACAAAAAUGAUUUAAAAAAUUAUUUAGGUAGAAGUCUUGGAUGCAUUAUGUUUGAUAUAAAAAUCUACGGAAGCAAAUUCGGGACAUCAAAUCAAUUAUUUGUCGUUAAAAUCAUCUUAUAUUUCUCGUCAAAAUUGGUCAAUUACAUAAAAAAUAUGCAAGUAGAAUGUCUAACAAUCAAUAUUGUUUCAGAUAAUAGAUGAAAGAUUGUGUUCCCUUUUGUUAAAUGGAUUCAAAAGAUGUUUAAGCUUUCCUUCAAACAAGAACGUAUGCUAUUUAAAAAGAUGAAAGGUUAUGUUCGACUAUGUGACAAGAGUUGCAAUAAUUCCUAAUCUACACUUAACCAAGACGAUAUGUUUUCUGAAAAGAUGGAAGUUUGCGCACGUGUGUGUGAGGAAGGCUGCAAUGAAUUUUAAUCUAUUGUUUAAACAACAGUGCUUUUAUAAUUUGAAAAAAAGGUUAGUAUUUCUGCAUAAUUUUCAUAAAAGAGGAACAGACACUCAUAAUUACUAAUAACAAAAUAUUUACAACACUGUCAUUGUUUUACUUUAUAAUAUAUUAUGACAAAUUAUUUCAUUUAAUAAUUCAUUUCUGUUAAGGGAUCUAUGAGGGCAUUUGUGCUUGACUUGUUCCAGCGAUGUAGUAAACUGACAAACUGUUUUGACUAAAGUAGUAAUCUGUUUCUGAUUUCAGAUGGAGGAAUGCCCUAUUUGCAAAAAAAGUUUAGAGGACGGCACAGCUCGCGUGCGCCUCAGUGAAAAGGGGGUCAUUGGUAUUCAAGCUGCCAGUGCAUAUUCACCAACAGUAAUUGAAGUUCAACCUGGAAAUUAUGUUCAUGUCAAGUGUAGGAAGGAUCUCACUCGACCUCAAAAGAAACUGACUGAAAAUAACGAACAAGACCCUAAAAGAAUUUUGCGUACACAUACAAAUAAUUUUGAUUUUAAGUCUCGUUGUCUGUUUUGUGCAAAUUAUGCAAAGUUUUCUUCAAAGACAAGAAAACGCUCUCAUGAUAUUUUUCCAGUAAGAACACUUGAUUUUCAAAAUAAAAUUAUGGAUAUAUGUCAAAGUAGAAAUGAUCUUUGGGCAAUUGAAAUUCAUUCAAGGUUGAACCAAGUACUUGACAUACCAGCCGCAGAAGCCAUAUACCACCAAACUUGUAGUGUUAAUUUUAGAACUGGUAAAGGCAUUCCCAAAACACUAAGUGAACCAAAUACAGGCACAAACUCUAUAAAACCUCCUGGAAGACCAACAAAUGAUGACCAGGCAGAAGCCUUUAAAGCGGUUGUUGAAUAUAUUGAAAAUAAUGAAAACUAGAGGAUGCUUUU